This 484-nucleotide ribosomal RNA is filed under the name uncultured bacterium. RNAcentral's name for it is "partial 16S ribosomal RNA". It matches the Rfam family "Bacterial small subunit ribosomal RNA", at positions 30 to 507 of the family's 1533-position model. The record is from RNAcentral.
AUUGAACGCUGGCGGCAGGCCUAACACAUGCAAGUCGAGCGGAUGAAGGGAGCUUGCUCCUGGAUUCAGCGGCGGACGGGUGAGUAAUGCCUAGGAAUCUGCCUGGUAGUGGGGGAUAACGUCCGGAAACGGGCGCUAAUACCGCAUACGUCCUGAGGGAGAAAGUGGGGGAUCUUCGGACCUCACGCUAUCGGAUGAGCCUGGGUCGGAUUAGCUAGUUGGUGGGGUAAAGGCCUACCAAGGCGACGAUCCGUAACUGGUCUGAGAGGAUGAUCAGUCACACUGGAACUGAGACACGGUCCAGACUCCUACGGGAGGCAGCAGUGGGGAAUAUUGGACAAUGGGCGAAAGCCUGAUCCAGCCAUGCCGCGUGUGUGAAGAAGGUCUUCGGAUUGUAAAGCACUUUAAGUUGGGAGGAAGGGCAGUAAGUUAAUACCUUGCUGUUUUGACGUUACCAACAGAAUAAGCACCGGCUAACUUCGUG